UGAAUCUCCAAAAUACGCUCUGCUGCCU
This 28-nucleotide non-coding RNA is filed under the name Mus musculus (house mouse). Lineage: Eukaryota; Metazoa; Chordata; Mammalia; Rodentia; Muridae. The record is from RNAcentral.